RNAcentral lists this ribosomal RNA (479 nucleotides) under uncultured bacterium. RNAcentral's name for it is "SSU rRNA". It matches the Rfam family "Bacterial small subunit ribosomal RNA", at positions 26 to 518 of the family's 1533-position model. The record is from RNAcentral.
AGGAUGAACGCUGGCGGCGUGCCUAAUACAUGCAAGUCGAGCGGUAAGGCCACUUCGGUGGUACACGAGCGGCGGACGGCAGAGUAACGCGUGGGAAUCUACCCCAAACUGAGGGAUAAGCACCAGAAAUGGUGUCUAAUACCGCAUAUGCUCUUCGGAGUAAAGCUACGGCGGUUUGGGAAGAGCCUGCGUAUGAUUAGCUUGUUGGUAAGGUAAAAGCUUACCAAGGCGACAAUCCGUAGCUGGUCUGAGAGGACGACCAGCCACACCGGAACUGAGACACGGUCCGGACUCCUACGGGAGGCAGCAGUGGGGAAUAUUGGACAAUGGGGGAAACCCUGAUCCAGCGACGCCGCGUGUGUGAAGAAGGCCUGCGGGUUGUAAAGCACUUUUAGUGGGGACAAAAGCUACGGAUUAAUACUCUGUGGUCUUGAUUUAACCCAAAGAAAAGCACCGGCUAACUCUGUGCCAGCAGCCGC